This 1006-nucleotide long non-coding RNA is filed under the name Piliocolobus tephrosceles (Ugandan red Colobus). RNAcentral's name for it is "lncRNA (ENSPTEG00000020185.1)". Lineage: Eukaryota; Metazoa; Chordata; Mammalia; Primates; Cercopithecidae. The record is from RNAcentral.
AUGCUCUGCCCACACCUGAGCUCUCUCCAGUCUCCGCCUCCUGGAUGUGGUAGGGUGGCCAUGCUCAGCUCACACCUGAGCUCUCUCCGAGCUCCGCCUUCUGGACUCCGUAGAGUGGCCAUGCUCCACCCACACCUGCGCUCUCUCCAAGCUCCGCCUUCUGGACGUGGUAGGAUGGCCAUGCUCCGCCCACACCUGAGCUCUCGGUGCCACGAUCUGCAGGUGUACUCCACAGGACAAGUGUACUGUGGACAAUGAAGUUAUUCAUCAUGCAUGACCCAGUAACAUUUCUCAGCGGUUGGAUUCAAUACGAGAAAUAAGCAAAUAAUCGCACUGCUUCUUCCAUUUCAAAGUCAUGUCUCUUAUAAAAAGUGGUCAAGAAAAAUGCCUGUUGGCUUACAUACUGGUUAGUGCCAAAAAUUUGGCUUACAAUAUUUCAAGUGGAUUAUCCUUUUACAUCCAUGUUGUUAGUUUCACACAGAACACAUACAAAUGCAAUUUUUUUUACCGUAAGUUUUUGCAAAUUAUAAUCAUAAACUAAAAAAUAGGAUUAAGCAUAUUAUUUUUUGGGAUAGGGUCUAGUUCUGUUGCCCAGGCUGGAGUGCAGUGGCACGAUCAUGGCUCACUGCAGCCUCAACCUCCCCCGGCCCAGGUGAUUCUCCCAUCCCAGCCUCCCGAGCAGCUGGGACCACAGGCACACACCACCAUGCCCGGCUGAUUUCUGUAUUUUUUGUAGGGAUGGGCUUUGGAAUGUUGCCCAGGCUAGUCUCAAAUGCUGGGACUCAAGCAAUCUGCCUGCCUUGGCUUCCCAAAGUGCGGAGGUUACAGGCAUGAGCCACUAUGCCUGGCCUAAUCAUUUUUAAAGAGUCUCUAUGUAUUAUUGUUAUUUUUUUCCUAAUUGAGAUGGGGGUCUUGCUCUGUUGCCCCGCCGGAGUGCAGUGGUGCCAUCUCAGCUGACAGCAACCUCUGCCUCCCGGGCUCAAGUGAUUCUCCCACCUCAGCCUCC